UAUUUAAUUUUCAAUGAAUUGUUCAUGUCUUUGAACAUGAACAAUUAUUUUGUUCUUAUUUUUCUAUUGAACUGUUGAUUUUUUUCUCUUGAUUUCUAGGUAUUUACAUAUUUGGGGAUUACACAUUGCCUGCAACGAGGUUCUUUUUAUUUUUAGGUGUAUUUUCCAGGCUUUGGACAUAGAGUCAGUGUACAAACAAUGAUAAGUAUAAUAUUUAUCCCACUCACUGAUUUUUUUUAAUGCUCUAACUUAAAGCUCUAAUUUUAAGCUCUCUUCUUGGGGCUUAAAGAUUAGGGAAGACAUAAGCCUUGAAGUGAUGCAAAAACAUAAUUUGUAUAUUUUCUUUAUCCCUUAGAGCCUCUUGAUUUCUUAGGCCAUGAUGGAGUCACAGUUACAAAAUCUGAUUACUUCUUAAAUAAUUUGAUCAUGAAGUCACAGUUAUGAAAUCUAAUUAUUUCCUAAGAUAUUUUAAUAUUUGCAAUGGAAAGAGUAGGAACAAAUGAGUCUCAAAGUGUCUAUCUGAAAAAGUAAAAUUUUAACUCCCAUGUUGUGACUCACCUUCCACUAUUAAGCUUGGAGACUCUGGGUGUGAUGUUAGGAAGGUUUUUUUAUUGUCACUCAAGCUCUUCCAUUGAAUCUGAGUA
RNAcentral lists this long non-coding RNA (644 nucleotides) under Zalophus californianus (California sea lion). RNAcentral's name for it is "lncRNA (ENSZCAG00015011878.1)". The record is from RNAcentral. Lineage: Eukaryota; Metazoa; Chordata; Mammalia; Carnivora; Otariidae.